RNAcentral lists this long non-coding RNA (4703 nucleotides) under Marmota monax (woodchuck). The record is from RNAcentral. Lineage: Eukaryota; Metazoa; Chordata; Mammalia; Rodentia; Sciuridae.
GAGACAGUGAGCGUGCGCACAGGGACACAGACGUAGGGCGGGUUUCACAGCAAAUGCACACAAUACACUGAACACUUGAGAUUGUUCUUGGUACAAUACAAACAGUCAUGUUUGUGAAGAUUUGGAGGCCAAUGUGCUCAGUUUUAAGAAGGAAUGUAAAAGAGCAAUUCCUGUUUGGUAACUGCGCCUGCGGGAGCGCACCACCUCAUAAGGUGAACUUCAUCAGGAAGGGCCGCUGUGAUGUGGAGGGGAGGAAGUCUCACCCUGAAUCACGCAAGGGGCGGUGAGGGCUCCAAUGAAAACUGAAUUCAGUAUUCCAGAUGGCACCACAGCCCGCCGGGCGCUGGCACAGUGGACUCGGGGGUUUUACCAGCAGCUCCAGGCUGGUCCUUGAGGCUGCACUGGACCUGAGCCGGGAAGAAGAGAGCAGAGACCCGCCAAGCUCCUCUGGCCCAGCUGGUGUGCCCCUGCUGCUCGAGUAGGAGUCCCGGUGGGACCAGCGUCCCCAGCCCGGUGCCCACGCAGACGGUAAGCUCCCCCACCGCCCACCACCCCUGUGUAGGAGUGGGCGGGUAGGAGUUGAUCUUUUCCAGAUAUCACUCUGGGUAGGUAAAAACUGCCUUCAUGGCUACUAAAAGCUGAAGAGAAGCCUGACUCAUCAUGGCUCCCAGGCCUGGUGCGAGGCUCCUGGGACGGCGCGGGCUGCGGGGCUCCCUUCCUCUCCUCCACAUCACAGCGGCCCUUCCUGAUGAAGUUCUCACUGGACCCUCUGCAUUCGGCCUAGGCGGAGACGGGGGGUUUGAGGACGCUUCCGUCCCACAUCACUUUCUGAAGUCUCCAGGAUUGGCCACGUUGUACAGAACACUCUGGAGUGUUGUAAAGAUCUCAAAGCAGCAAGACACUGAGAGGACAGAAAGGAACAGAGCUCUGCGCCCAGCGUCAAGGACAGUCCUGGCAUGAGGGGGGACCAGACGCGGCCUGGUACCUCACCUGACGUGUGCCAAGGAUGAAGGAGGCCGAUGCGGACAUUCUUUAUUAAAUAAGGGCUGCUUUUCUCAUCAUUGUGUUUGAGUCGUUAAAAUUCAGGCAAUUUUAGGAAGCUGUGGCAUGAGAAAUAGCCUGGUGUUGGGCAUGAAAACACCUGUCUACAUUUCCUCGAGAGGCCAAGGAUGCCCAUUCUGGAGGUGUCACCACGCAAAACCGUGACACAGAGUGGUGCCUUUGACUCCUGUUUACCCUGAACAUUGCCUCAGAACAUGAGGCCCCCCUGGCUCUCCCCCUUUCUACUCCGUGAGUAGACGGAGUAAAACAUCAAUUUCUACAAUUUCCAGGAGGGGCAAUCUUCAAAGGAAAAUGAGGAGGGAAACCAGUAUCGACCAAAUUUGUAAGAUCAAGAAACUGCAAAUGUCACAGAAAGAAGUAAUCCCAACAAAGAGCAUUCUGAAGCAAAGGGCACUCUCUCAUUAUUUUCGUAUUUAUAGAAACGCUCCUUGGGUGACUUGGUACCCGUGAAUGGUGCACCUGCUGCUGUCCUGCUUGCUCUCUGUCCUCCUGUCGAGGGCCCGUGACCUGCUCACCGGCACUCACCGUCCAGAAGCCUGUUCUUGAACGUGGUGUGGGGCGAGUGUGCUAGGUGUGUGGAGGGUGGCUGUGAACGCAGCCGAUUCCUGAGAGGCAGUGAGGGCUGCGGAGGGAGGGCUGAGGUUGGCUCAGAGGAGGAGCCAGGGAACCAGGACGCAGCCCCAAUAUGCCCAGGGUAUGCUGAGCUGCCCAGGGCCUCGGGGUCCAGUGGACAGGGACAGCGUCCAUCCUGUGGCAGUACUAAGGGAGUGGACACCUGAGGACGCUCCCCUCUGGUUGGUCUGGCUUCUCCCUGGGGUGCUGCUCCUCGCCACUGGCAGACCCUCGGGCGCUGGACUUCCUCCGCCUCUGGCAUCAGAAGUGCAGCUCCCAAACUCUGGGAAACCAGUGCUUCAAGGUCACCUUAAGCGCUCUUGACAAAAGGAAAUCGUCUGUCAGGCAUGUUAUACAAACCAGUAUUUGACAAGCUCAGUGACUUGAUUCAGUCACAGGUAAACGUGAGAAAAGUGCAUCCUCUCAGUGUGAUAAAGGACCAGUCUGCACUAACCUGGCACUUGGUGGGACUCUCCCACGUGGAGCUGCACAUUCCUGGCUGGUGCCUGUCCUGCAGAAUUCCAGACCACGUGCUGUUCCCUGUGCAGUGGAACAGUGGCAGGAGCCAGGCCACCGUCUCUCAUGCCACCGGCCCAGAGGUGCUCCCGGCCUGCAGCUGCCUCAGAACUUUGCCAAACGCCACGUGGACGAGACUCUGGCUAAGCAAAACCUCUCUUGAGGUUUUAGGUAAAAUAGUAAUUUUAAAAUUACUAUUUUACCUAAUCUAAAUCAGAAGGGGAAGAGACAGGACAAGACAAUGAGAACAGGAAGAACCCUCCAACGACUUCAUAGCCCAUCAGUAAUGAGAAUGGAAUUCAUCAUCGGCUUCCAUUUUAAAAACAAGUUCAUCCCUACCUGUUCAUAGUUUUUAUAUGUUUGCUUUGACUUUUGUAUCUUCCAAAUGCGACUUUCCCCCCAGUUUUUUUGUAAGUGUCAUAUAGGUUUUAAUCUUCUGUUUUCGUUUAAGUUUUGAAAACUUGAGCUCCCACCAGCGAGUUCCAAUCUGGUGCUGGAUAGCUCUUGGGAACCCAGACACAGGCACAGGUCUUCCAUGAGCCUUCCUCCAGGGAGAAGCCCAUGGAUUCCUCCCCCGGGACCAGCGCAGGCUGCGGCUAAGCUUGCACCUUGACGGGCAGAGAGGCUGGCACACAGUCGGCUCUGAGGGUCCUUCCUGUUCUCAAUCUCUUAUCCUGCCUGUCUUCAUCCUGACUGACCUAUGAUAACCAGAAUUGCCCUCUGCAAGUAACAGAAAUUCAAACCAAGCCAACCUGCAAGAGCGCGCUCACACACACACACACACACACACACACACACACAAUCACUGGUUUAUGCACUUUAUAAUUAUGGGUAACUGAUGUUUACAUAUUACUGUCUUCUCCCCACCAAACGCAGAGUCAUGCACGUAAACUAGAGACGUUCCUGUUUUAAAUGCUGUGAGAAUCUUCUGUUAGGAGCCCUAAGCCUCUGCUCUAUCCCUGCAAAUCAUGAAGGAUGUGGGGUCUUGGAUGGGGAGGUCACUCUCCAGCUGAGCAUCAUCUCAUCUGUAAUCUCUUCUGUAGAAGACUGAUUUCAACUUGCACUGACCUCAAAGCCCAAUUCAGGAGUCUUCUGUUCUCAGUAGGGAUUCUCUCUAUAAAGCAUAGGUGAGCAAUGUACAUUUACUAACGACUUUGUGCAAGACCCUAAGGGUGAACUCUCAUUGCCUGACAUAGGGUAUUUCACUCCAAAAAAAACCGAGAAUUGACUUUUCUCAUCCGCCUUCUCCAUUCCCGCCUUUGGUCUCCUUCGACCCAUCCUGCCUUGUGAAGUCUCGACUCUCUCCUCUGAAGCAGAAGCAGAGCUCACUCUCAGAGGCCAGAGGACUGGCAACCCUGGAGCCCCCAAACAGGCUUGUGAAUCAUUAAGUCCAACCCUGCAGUCUCCCCCAAGGGGGGCACUUGGAAUGUAGCUAAGGAUUUUUAUCUUUGCAUUUACAUUUAAUUACAUUUAAUUGUUCGAUUCUCCAACAGUGCUCCUUUUAAUUUCUCUAGAUGAACCCAGGAUGUAAAUAUUUUCCAGUCCAAGGAAGAGUCUCCAGUGGGCUGGAGCUGGUCGAUGAGCCGCCACGUCCUGCAUGCAGGGUCUCUGGGAGCGUCUCCAAGGGCAGCCUCCACCUGGGAGCCACAGGAACCAGGAUUUCCCACUUCUCCUCUAGGAACAAAGCAUCGUGAGCUGCAGGAGAGGAGAGAAGACAUAUCGAGGGGUUUAUUUUAUGGCGAUUGUGAAAAUGGUUAGUGGGUAAGGUGUGGAGAGCUCAUGGUGUAGCAUGAGAAAAAUGCGGGGUCUCUCCUGCCAAGAGUGACUGGCAGAGAGAAAGAGGAAGAGUGCCUUUCUCUGUGGUUUGAGACUUUUUACUAGAGAAGACAAAACCGAGAAAACUCGCUAUGCAAAUUUACAUGUUUCAUUAAUAUUUACCACUUGGUCCAAUUUGAUGAAAAGGAGUCAAGAGUGUGGAAGCAGAAGAAGUGGCCACCCAGAUGGAGGCUCGCAGUUGCUGAUCUUUCUGCUGCUGCGAGGACACUUGAGGCAGGCCAGCCAUCUCCCGCCACGUCCCCUCUGCCCCACAACUCACGCCAUGCGGGAAAACCAAGAGCAGGCACGGGGCGGGCACGGCUGCCCCGAGAGGCCCAGCCAGCUGGGACAGGUCAGAGACCAGGCAGGCCAGCCCAGCGAGGUGGCUCUGGAGGGGAACUCUUCCGCUCAUUUCCUGUGUUUACAUCACACGUUGGACUGUUAUCACAUUAACGUGAUGUUGAUCUAACCUCAUGUUUGUGUCUCAGCUAAAAAACGAAAGUAAGCUGGGAGCAGUGGACUCCCACGGGGAUGAGUGGAAGUCAGCACUGCGUGCCAGCCUCGAGGAACCCACUGACCAGCCACGCAGACCGCUGCCCAGGACGGGCCGAAGGAAACACCACCACGGUCCCAGCCAGAGCACUCAAAGGGCACAGUGGCCUAGCCACGGAGGACCCCUUCCUCCAUGACAACACAAG